This 324-nucleotide ribosomal RNA is filed under the name uncultured eukaryote. Its description in RNAcentral is "partial 18S ribosomal RNA". It matches the Rfam family "Eukaryotic small subunit ribosomal RNA", at positions 1470 to 1796 of the family's 1831-position model. The record is from RNAcentral.
CCCUUAGAUGCUCUGGGCCGCACGCGCGCUACACUGGUCGAUGCAACGAGUUUCUUUCCUUGGCCGACAGGCCUGGGCAAUCUUUGAACAUCGAUCGUGAUCGGGAUAGAUUCUUGUAAUUUUUGAUCUUAAACGAGGAAUUCCUAGUAAACGCAAGUCAUCAGCUUGCAUUGAUUACGUCCCUGCCCUUUGUACACACCGCCCGUCGCACCUACCGAUUGAAUGGUCCGGUGAAAUCUCCGGACUGGCGUGAGUCGGAGCAAUCUGACAAACGCCGGAAAGUUGAUUAAACCUUACCAUUUAGAGGAAGGUGAAGUCGCAACA